RNAcentral lists this unclassified non-coding RNA (350 nucleotides) under fungal sp. Its description in RNAcentral is "partial internal transcribed spacer region". The stretch from base 1 to 46 matches the Rfam family "Eukaryotic small subunit ribosomal RNA", at positions 1786 to 1831 of the family's 1831-position model. Lineage: Eukaryota; Fungi. The record is from RNAcentral.
AAGUCGUAACAAGGUUUCCGUAGGUGAACCUGCGGAAGGAUCAUUAACACGUAUCCAAACGUUAAAACCCCCCCCGUGAACAUUGAUACCUCUGGCCCGUGCGAAAUCACAACAGUUACAAUUCGAGCGGUAGUUCUAUAGGCCUUGUUUCCCCAAGCAGUCAGUGUCUGAAAGUGUCAGUGAUUGUGCAAGGAUAACGCUUCACGAUUCUUGUAGACCGCAUCUCGCGGGCAGGAGCUAGGCCAAAGGGUCCCCAUGCCCCCUUACAACCCCACAGUUAAAUGUGAAGCUCAAUGUAAUACAUUGGGUAAAAAACCGAACAACUGUUAACAAUGGAUAUCUUGGUUCUC